UACGGAGGAUGCGAGCGUUAUCCGGAUUUAUUGGGUUUAAAGGGUGCGUAGGCGGAUUGUUAAGUCAGCGGUAAAAAUUUGGGGCUCAACCCCGUAGUGCCGUUGAAACUGGCGGUCUUGAGUGGGCGAGAAGUAUGCGGAAUGCGUGGUGUAGCGGUGAAAUGCAUAGAUAUCACGCAGAACUCCGAUUGCGAAGGCAGCAUACCGGCGCCCAACUGACGCUGAGGCACGAAAGCGUGGGGAUCGAACAGG
This 252-nucleotide ribosomal RNA is filed under the name uncultured bacterium. RNAcentral's name for it is "partial 16S ribosomal RNA". It matches the Rfam family "Bacterial small subunit ribosomal RNA", at positions 524 to 776 of the family's 1533-position model. The record is from RNAcentral.